RNAcentral lists this ribosomal RNA (427 nucleotides) under uncultured bacterium. RNAcentral's name for it is "bacterial SSU rRNA". It matches the Rfam family "Bacterial small subunit ribosomal RNA", at positions 355 to 774 of the family's 1533-position model. The record is from RNAcentral.
UGGGGAAUUUUGGACAAUGGACGCAAGUCUGAUCCAGCCAUGCCGCGUGCGGGAAGAAGGCCUUCGGGUUGUAAACCGCUUUUGUCAGGGAAGAAACGAGUUUCUCUAAUACAGAGACUUAAUGACGGUACCUGAAGAAGAAGCCCCGGCCAACUUCGUGCCAGCAGCCGCGGUAAUACGAAGGGGGCUAGCGUUGUUCGGAAUUACUGGGCGUAAAGCGUGCGCAGGCGGUUUAGUAAGACAGGCGUGAAAUCCCCGGGCUCAACCUGGGAACUGCCUUUGUGACUGCAUAGCUAGAGUACGGUAGAGGGGGAUGGAAUUCCGCGUGUAGCAGUGAAAUGCGUAGAUAUGCGGAGGAACACCGAUGGCGAAGGCAAUCCCCUGGACCUGUACUGACGCUCAUGCACGAAAGCGUGGGGAGCAAACA